UGCAAGUCGAGGGGUAGCGGGUGUAGCAAUACAUGCCGACGACCGGCGCACGGGUGAGUAACGCGUAUGCAACCUACCUUUAACAGGGGGAUAGCUCGGGGAAACCCGGAUUAAUACACCAUAACAUUAGACUGGGGCAUCCUGGUUUAAUCAAAGCUGAGGCGGUUAAAGAUGGGCAUGCGUGCCAUUAGCUAGUUGGUGAGGUAACGGCCCACCAAGGCUACGAUGGCUAGGAGGUCUUAAAGGAUGAUCUCCCACACUGGUACUGAGACACGGACCAGACUCCUACGGGAGGCAGCAGUGAGGAAUAUUGGGCAAUGGGCGCGAGCCUGACCCAGCCAAGCCGCGUGAAGGAUGAAGGCUCUAGUAGUCGUAAACUUCUUUUGUAGGGGACGAAAAUGCGCUACGCGUUAGCACACUGACGGUACUCUACGAAUAAGCAUCGGCUAACUCCGUGCCAGCAGCCGCGGUAAUACGGAGGAUGCAGGCGUCAUCCGGAUUUAUUAGGUUUAAAGGGUGCGUAGGCGGAUUAUUAAGUCAGUGGUGAAAUACUCCAGCUUAACUGGGGAACUGCCAUUGAUACUGAUGGUCUUGAAUGCAGUUGAGGUAUGCGGAAUGUGCAGUGUAGCGGUGAAAUGCUUAGAUAUUGCACAGAACACCGAUUGCGAAGGCAGCAUACUAAACUGUGAUUGACGCUGAUGCACGAAAGCGUGGGGAUCAAACAGGAUUAGAUACCCUGGUAGUCCACGCCGUAAACGAUGAUCACUCGCUGUUGGCGAUACACAGUCAGCGGCUAAGCGAAAGCAUUAAGUGAUCCACCUGGGAAGUACGACCGCAAGGUUGAAACUCAAAGGAAUUGACGGGGGCCCGCACAAGCGGAGGAACAUGUGGUUUAAUUCGAUGAUACGCGAGGAACCUUACCUGGGCUUAAAUGAGACCGGACUGUGGUGGAAACAUUACAUCUCUUCGGAGCUGGUUUCAAGGUGCUGCAUGGCUGUCGUCAGCUCGUGCCGUGAGGUGUCGGGUUAAGUCCCAUAACGAGCGCAACCCCUAUCAUUAGUUGCCAGCGGGUAAUGCCGGGAACUCUAAUGAGACUGCCAGCGUAAGCUGUGAGGAAGGUGGGGAUGACGUCAAGUCAGCACGGCCCUUACGCCCAGGGCUACACACGUGUUACAAUGGCCGGUACAAAGGGCAGCUACUUGGUGACAAGAUGCUAAUCUCAAAAGCCGGUCUUAGUUCGGAUCGAAGUCUGCAACCCGACUUCGUGAAGCUGGAUUCGCUAGUAAUCGUACAUCAGCAAUGGUACGGUGAAUACGUUCCCGGGCCUUGUACACACCGCCCGUCAAGCCAUGGAAGCUGGGGGUACCUAAAGUCCGCAACCGUAAGGAGCGGCCUAGGGUAAAACCAGUGACUGGGGCUAAGUCGAAACAAGGUA
This 1435-nucleotide ribosomal RNA is filed under the name metagenome. Its description in RNAcentral is "bacterial SSU rRNA". It matches the Rfam family "Bacterial small subunit ribosomal RNA". The record is from RNAcentral.